CGAUGUCUAUUAGCCGUUGGGUCUGUUAUGGACUUGGUGGCGAAGCUAACGCGAUAAAUAGACCGCCUGGGGAGUACGGCCGCAAGGUUAAAACUCAAAUGAAUUGACGGGGGCCCGCACAAGCGGUGGAGCAUGUGGUUUAAUUCGAAGCAACGCGAAGAACCUUACCUACUCUUGAAAUCCAGUGAACUUAGCAGAGAUGCUUUGGUGCCUUCGGGAACACUGAGACAGGUGCUGCAUGGCUGUCGUCAGCUCGUGUUGUGAAAUGUUGGGUUAAGUCCCGUAACGAGCGCAACCCUUAUCCUUAGUUGCCAGCGAGUAAUGUCGGGGACUCUAAGGAGACUGCCGGUGAUAAGCCGGAGGAAGGCGGGGAUGACGUCAAGUCAGCAUGGCCCUUACGAGUAGGGCUACACACGUGCUACAAUGGUCGGUACAGACGGUUGCGAAGUCGCGAGAUGGAGCUAAUCUGAGAAAGCCGAUCGUAGUCCGGAUUGGAGUCUGCAACUCGACUCCAUGAAGUCGGAAUCGCUAGUAAUCGUGAAUCAGAACGUCACGGUGAAUACGUUCCCGGGCCUUGUACACACCGCCCGUCACACCAUGGGAGUUGAUUGCACCAGAAGUGGGUAGCUUAAAAUUGGGCGCUCACCACGGUGUGGUUAAUGACUGGGGUGAAGUCGUAACAAGGUAACC
RNAcentral lists this ribosomal RNA (690 nucleotides) under uncultured bacterium. Its description in RNAcentral is "bacterial SSU rRNA". It matches the Rfam family "Bacterial small subunit ribosomal RNA", at positions 807 to 1501 of the family's 1533-position model. The record is from RNAcentral.